GCAGUGGUUUCCCACUUAAUUGAGCAUUGGAUUCGUAAUCCAAGGGUCGCGGGUUUGAUACCCGCACAUUGCA
Molecule: non-coding RNA, 73 nt
Organism: Potamilus streckersoni
Lineage: Eukaryota; Metazoa; Mollusca; Bivalvia; Unionida; Unionidae
Source: the annotation of a GenBank genome assembly